Molecule: non-coding RNA, 86 nt
Organism: Paramuricea clavata
Lineage: Eukaryota; Metazoa; Cnidaria; Anthozoa; Malacalcyonacea; Plexauridae
Source: the annotation of a GenBank genome assembly
CUUCCAAAGUUUGCAAAUUUUGUAUACUUUUGUAUUGCAAUUUUCACAGGCAAUACAAAAGUAUACAGAAUUUGCAAACUUUGGAA